UAAGGAUGGUAAGGGUUAAACAAUGCAAUUAUGCAAACAAGCAAAAGGGAGAUAAGAUAAGAGAGAACCUAUACCCUUUCGGCUCCAGUUCAGACGGGCGAGGGUUCUACUGUGGUCGCUAAACCCCCGCUUAAGCGAUCGCGGCUCUUCUCCUUUCCGACCACGAAGACCCCUGUUGCUGUCGCGCAACUCUCCUUCGUGAUCUCCUCUCAUCUGAGUCUCACAGAGAAGAAACCUCGUUUGUGCUCUUCUUCGAUUGGAAACGGAGAGGAGAAAGAUGAACAAGAAAGAGGUACUAAAACUAGCGAAAGGUUUUAGGGGAAGAGCAAAGAACUGCAUUCGUAUAGCAAGAGAAAGAGUGGAGAAGGCCUUGCAGUAUUCCUACAGAGACCGUCGCAACAAGAAGCGAGACAUGCGGUCUCUCUGGAUUCAACGCAUAAAUGCCGGCACCCGUCAACAUGGUGUUAACUAUGGGAACUUCAUGCAUGGUCUGAUGAAGGAGAACAUUCAGCUGAACAGGAAAGUUUUGUCAGAGUUAUCUAUGCAUGAACCGUAUAGUUUCAAGGCCCUCGUAGACAUAUCUCAUAAUGCCUUUCCUGGAAACAAAAAAUGCCGUACUUCCUCUCAGGAAGCUAAAACUUUCAGUUAAUGUAUAACUGGUAGUUUUGGUUGCUCAUCCUUUCACUGUCAUUCUGGUUUUUUUCUGAAACAAACCUUUAAAUAAUUGACUUUAUAUUUUCUUUAUUAGCUACUUUUUUC
This 759-nucleotide unclassified non-coding RNA is filed under the name Hevea brasiliensis (rubber tree). Lineage: Eukaryota; Viridiplantae; Streptophyta; Magnoliopsida; Malpighiales; Euphorbiaceae. The record is from RNAcentral.